Gallus gallus (chicken) is the source of this 1615-nucleotide long non-coding RNA. NCBI's taxonomy places the organism in Eukaryota, Metazoa, Chordata, Aves, Galliformes, Phasianidae. The record is from Ensembl.
GCUGUCUGGGUUACUCUGAACUUCUGGACACCAUUUUCCUUUGACUCACCUUUUAUUCCAGCGGAAGUCAGGACCAAGUGUGUCUAGCAAACAGGACUAUGCAGAAUUGCUCGUUGGAGCCAGGAGUCUGAUGCCUUUUUUUACCUACUCAUGUGGAGUCCUUUGGAUAGGUUCAGAAGACACCACUGUCAGAAGGCAAUAGCUGUCUCCCUAACUUUGCCUUGAGCUGAUUCCUGCUCAUGAGCAGCAAUUCCAUGAAAAUUCAAGCUCUGCCAUUUGGUCCCAGUUAAAACUAUUCUGAGCCUAUUAGGAAGGCCUAAUCCUAAUCUGACUGCAGCACUGCCUUUCCUCUGCUGCCAGGCUGUAUUCCUUUGGAUGACAUGCUAGCAAUGUUUUGAUUCUGCAUCUUGAAGUGGAUGGAGAUGUGGCCCCAGUGUCUCCAGGAUGCCGUGAGUCAGAUAGCAAUACCAGUUUUCCCUCUUUUAUUUUUAUUUUUAUUUAAACGAGAAUGGUGUUUUGCAUUUUCCUGGUUAAGAGAAGACAGAGACAGGUGAUCAGGCUGGAUAUCAGGAGGAGGUUCUUCACCAAGAGGAUGAUUGGGCACUGGAACAUGUUCCCCAGGGAAGUGGCCAUGGUACCAAGCUUGGUAGAGUUCAAGAGGUGUCUGGACAACACUCUCAGAUGUAUGGUCUGAUUUUGGGUGGUCCUGUGUGGAGCCAGGAGUUGGACUUGGUGAUUCUUAUGGGUCCCUUCCUACUCAGGAUAUUCUGUGAUUCUUUGAUUCUUUAGCUGCUGCCUUCUCUAUCACAGCAUUACGAAGACAAGAUCUACAAAAAAAACUCUCUAUGCUGUCUUUUACUUUUGAGAGUAAAAGCCGUGGUAUUGUGAUGACGGAAACCACAAUGACUUAGAAUUUUAAGAGAUUAUUUCCUUUGCUACUUCCACCCAGAAGAAAAGGAAAACCUCUGGGUUAACCAAGAUUGAGGAUUUGAACUCCUGGCCACAGUUUCCUCAAGUGCUAACAGGCUUGAAACAUUGACAUUCAUGGACUUCGCCAACCAGCAGAAAUGAAAUUCACUCAACCCACUUCAGGAGGAGGAGGAUGGAUCUGUAGCCAAGACCUGGGGUCCAAAAGACCAGCCUCUCUUGGGUUCUCAACUUCCGGAGCGCUGAGCAUGAUGGUGACACCAAUGGACAGAAGAAAGGAAACACCUGCCAGUGGUUAUCACACUGAAGACCCUAAACGAAACCGCUUCAUGUCACCAAUUUCAUUCUUUCAAUGCAUCAUCUUGAGGGAAAAUGUUAUUCCUAUUACAGUUACCAUUACAGUAGAGCAAGAGGGCAGUGCUGAGACCAGGUCCCACUUGUGCUAUGUGCUUUACAAAUAAACACGUGGUGCAUUCAUACUCUAGGCAGCAUGAGAGACAAAGGCAACAUUAUUAGCAUGCCCAUGAGCUGAGGCACGCUGAGAUUAUCCGACUUGCCCAAGGUCACACAGGAAGUAAGUGGCAGAACUGGAAAUUGAACCCAGAUUUCUUGAAUUGCAGGCCAAGUUUUUAACCACAAGGCCAUCUUUCGUCUCUCUUUUUUUCCCUCCAAUCUUCCUAUUUUAGCA